RNAcentral lists this ribosomal RNA (465 nucleotides) under Vreelandella stevensii. Its description in RNAcentral is "partial 16S ribosomal RNA". It matches the Rfam family "Bacterial small subunit ribosomal RNA", at positions 338 to 795 of the family's 1533-position model. Lineage: Bacteria; Pseudomonadati; Pseudomonadota; Gammaproteobacteria; Oceanospirillales; Halomonadaceae. The record is from RNAcentral.
CCUACGGGUGGCUGCAGUGGGGAAUAUUGGACAAUGGGGGCAACCCUGAUCCAGCCAUGCCGCGUGUGUGAAGAAGGCCCUCGGGUUGUAAAGCACUUUCAGUGAGGAAGAACGCCUGGUGGUUAAUACCCAUCAGGAAAGACAUCACUCACAGAAGAAGCACCGGCUAACUCCGUGCCAGCAGCCGCGGUAAUACGGAGGGUGCGAGCGUUAAUCGGAAUUACUGGGCGUAAAGCGCGCGUAGGUGGCUUGAUAAGCCGGUUGUGAAAGCCCCGGGCUCAACCUGGGAACGGCAUCCGGAACUGUCAAGCUAGAGUGCAGGAGAGGAAGGUAGAAUUCCCGGUGUAGCGGUGAAAUGCGUAGAGAUCGGGAGGAAUACCAGUGGCGAAGGCGGCCUUCUGGACUGACACUGACACUGAGGUGCGAAGGCGUGGGUAGCAAACAGGAUUAGAUACCCCGGUAGUC